RNAcentral lists this ribosomal RNA (497 nucleotides) under uncultured bacterium. RNAcentral's name for it is "partial 16S ribosomal RNA". It matches the Rfam family "Bacterial small subunit ribosomal RNA", at positions 28 to 507 of the family's 1533-position model. The record is from RNAcentral.
GAUGAACGCUGGCGGCGUGCCUAAUACAUGCAAGUCGAGCGAACGGACGAGAAGCUUGCUUCUCUGAUGUUAGCGGCGGACGGGUGAGUAACACGUGGAUAACCUACCUAUAAGACUGGGAUAACUUCGGGAAACCGUAGCUAAUACCGGAUCAUAUUUUGAACCGCAUGGUUCAAAAGUGAAAGACGGUCUUGCUGUCACUUAUAGAUGGAUCCGCGCUGCAUUAGCUAGUUGGUAAGGUAACGGCUUACCAAGGCAACGAUGCGUAGCCGACCUGAGAGGGUGAUCGGCCACACUGGAACUGAGACACGGUCCAGACUCCUACGGGAGGCAGCAGUAGGGAAUCUUCGGCAAUGGGCGAAAGCCUGACGGAGCAACGCCGCGUGAGUGAUGAAGGUCUUCGGAUCGUAAAACUCUGUUAUUAGGGAAGAACAUAUGUGUAAGUAACUGUGCACAUCUUGACGGUACCUAAACAGAAAGCCACGGCUAACUACGUG